UCUUCAUCAACCGAUAACGGUUUUACUUAAUUGUAGAUUAAUAGGGAAUCGUGUGUAAAUCACGAACUGUCGCGCAACUGUAAGUAACAAGCAAAGUUUUUACCAAUAAUGUCCACUGUUUCAAUAAGGAAUGGGAAGGAUGGUGAAAAUGUUACAAGUCAGGAGACCUGCCUUUAUCGAAUUGACAAU
RNAcentral lists this non-coding RNA (189 nucleotides) under Pedobacter nyackensis. The record is from RNAcentral. Lineage: Bacteria; Pseudomonadati; Bacteroidota; Sphingobacteriia; Sphingobacteriales; Sphingobacteriaceae.